GAAGAGGAUCCUUUGCUUUUGGACCACCAUUGACUAAGGGAUGGGAAUGGGUAACUGAAGCCACAGAAAGCAAAAUCAUGGACACGGUACACUUCCCAGACUCCCUUGCAGCCGGGUGUGGCUAUGUCCUUCAUUCUCACCAGGAAGUGGGGGAGACGACCAAAGCUUUGACAUCAUGUGCUUAAAAGGAAAUCCUUCACUCUCCACUUCAAAUUUGUUUGCCUCUUACCUUGAACUGGAAUGUGAACAAUUAUGGUGGAAACUGCACUUUAACCAUGCAUGCAAAAACAAGUCUCCGGGGAAGGAAGAUAAGGGUCCAUAACUUCCAAGUCGGAUUCUUAAGAUGUUCCUUGUUUGCCUUGACAUUCCAUGUACUUGCCUCAAGAUCAGUGUUCACAUCAGUGAAAUGUAGCUUCACAGUUACAGCUUGGUUAUGUAUUAAUUAACAAAAUACACAGGAGCUGUGAUCAUGCGUGCUUAGGAAAUAUGAGGUUUUGCAAAGUUAAACAGUUUUUAAUUUUUCCUUGAGUAUUAAGUUACAGAACUUCUUGAAGUCCAUUCUGAAUCUUCACAUGCAGGAUUUCUCAAGUAUUUUUGACAACAAUUUCUUCUUUUGGAGGAAAAGCUCAUGAAACUUGUGCUUGGGGAAAUAUCGAAUGAGAACUCUGUUCUUGACCAAGAUUCCAUAAAACAUGGACCUGGGAAUUCCAGUUGAUAUUCAAA
Molecule: long non-coding RNA, 723 nt
Organism: Suricata suricatta (meerkat)
Lineage: Eukaryota; Metazoa; Chordata; Mammalia; Carnivora; Herpestidae
Exons: 2
Source: RefSeq, a predicted model, not a curated record